AGAAGAAGACUGUUUGGUUUUCGGAAAAAUUUGAGGGAUAAUGCAAGAGAAAGAAAAUAGAGAAGAUAUGCAAAACGAAAAAGAGUAAAGAAAAAUAAAAAUAAAUUUUAAAUCAUUAAAUUAUUUUUAUAUACUACUUCAAAUUUAUUUAACUUAUUUUAAUUGUUUGAUAUAAAGAUUAAAUAAUUUUAAAAUACACAAAUUUCUAACUAAUUUUAAUUAUAUUUGUUUUUUUUUAUGAUAAAAUCAAAUAUAAGAAAAUCAUUUUUUUUUUCCAGUUCUUAGUAGUUUCUAGGAACCAAACAUAACCAAAAGAUUUAUGAAAAAUAUUUUUCGGAUGAUCUUGAGAUUAGCCAUUGUUAUUUGAUAGUUGGUAACGAGAGCCCAUCAAAGCACUUUUAUUUGUAACAUUUUUUAGAAUCAUUUAGCUGAUUGCUUAAUUAUAUUGGUAGAAGCAAAAAGUAUUGCAUGGCAGUUAAACUAUUAAGUGUUAUAUUGGUAGAAGCAAAAAAAAUUAUGUUAUAUUAAGUUUAAAUACUGAAUUUAAUUUGAUCAUUUUAAAGAGAGAUAAUGAUCUAAUUUUUGUAAGAAAGCAUUUUUCAAAAAUAGGAAGUGUUUUUAAACUCCUUUCAAAAUCAAUCCCAAUCAAACUUCGAGUCAAAUUAUGACUAAUCAUUUGAAUGAUUACUUUUGUGUUUUAACUACACAAAUUUUAUCCAUUAAAUUUUUUAGAAAACUAAAAAUCUUUCUUUUUUUUGUUUGUUCUCUUAUCAAUGCCAUGGUUAACUUGAUAGUAGGAGAGGGGUUGGCCAAGUCGGCCUAACCCUUAUACUAAUCUUCUACUCAUAGCUUCAUGAACAAGGAUAGUUGAGGAUAACUUCGAGUCAAUAAAGGACAAAAUAAUAUGCACUUUAAAAGUCGGAUUUGUUAUAAACAAAUGUCAUGUUAUUAGCCAAUACCUCUAAUUUUACCUUAGAUAUCUUGUUUCAAUGAAAACAAAAGUAGUUUACUUUAGUCAUUAUUCAUUGUUUUAUUAUUUCUCAAACUUUCAUCCAAAAUUUUCUCUCUCUCUCUCUCUCUAUAUAUAUUAAUGAUAUCAAUAUUCUCUUUGUUUCAGGCUCGUUAUUUAGAGGAAAGAGCAAAGAAACAAAGAGAGAUUAAUAAAUAAAGAAAUAAAGUAUAAGAAUAUUAUGAAAGAAAAUCAAAGUAAUUAGAAUAAUUUCUAGUGUAUAUUCAAAUGAGAUUUGCUUUUUCUUUAGUGAGUUUCUAGAUUUAUUAAUGAAAGUAUUAUAAUGGUGUAAAAAUAUAAUAACAUAACAAAUUUCGAUGAUGAAAUUUUUGUGAGGAGGGAAGAGUGUAACAUUCCCACCUUGAAGUCAAGGAUAUUUAUGUAAUUUGCAAAUUAAUUUUUUUAAAAAGGAAAAGGUGAGGGAAGAGUGUAACAUUCCACUUUGAAUUUAAGGAUAUUUAUGUAAUUUACAAAUUAAUUUUUUUAAAACGAAAAGAUGAGUGAGAUAUUUUUGGUUUUGUAACCACUCACUAUUUUUAUCCCGCUCUAAUUUCUCCUCAUUAUCAAAAAUUGAAAAGACGAAAUAGUGUAUAAAAGCAAAAACCAAAAAGGAAAAGAAAAUUUUAGUAUAAAACGAGAUUAGGUUUAAAUAUUAAAUUAAAUUGAACAUGCAAAAUGUUAUAAAUUGAAUUGAAUAAAAUAGGAUAAUCAUUGAAUUUAUUUUUGAGAUAUUUAAAAACUUAUAAUGUUUUAAUUAUGCUUUAAUUAUUUGAAUCAAUCGAGGACAUGUGAAAUAAUCUUAUAGCCCUUGGCUUCUAAGUUCAGGGUGUCACAUUUGGAUUGUUAGAUAUACAAUGAGGCUAAUAAACAAUAUAUAAAUUAAAUAUCAAUUUCCCUAAAUAUUUUACUAAUAGACCAAAAAUUAAUAAAUAAAAACUUAUCACUAAUAUUUAUUUAAUUAUAAUUCUUUUUCCAAAAGAAAUAAAAAAAAAUUCUACAUCGCGAUUACUUUUCAAAAUAGACACCAAAUUAAUUUUUUAAGUCACAUCAGUUUCCAUUUUAUAAUUUUGUUUAUGUUAAAAAAAGUUUUAACUUUAAGGUUAAAAUCAUAAUCACCAACUAUAACUUUUAUAUAAAAAAUAAAAAAAAUAAUAUAUAGACCCUGAAGUGGCAUGAACGUACUACUUUGAUGAAUAUUUUCAAAAUAAAUCAAGAUUAAUUUUUUUUUUUUUUCAAAAAAGAUUACUUUGAUUGCAAGCUCAGAUCGAGAAGUAUAUCUUAAUAUAAAUGAAAUGGAUAUUAAUACAAUACCAUCAAAUAAUAUAUGUUUAUAUGCAUGUGCAUUAUAACUUAAGUUUUAUAUAAAUAUACAAUGGGUUUGGGCUUGGUUCUGUUACUUUAGCCCUUAACCUAAGCUCGACCCAAAUUUAUAUUGGGUUGACAUUUUUUUGCUUAAGACCGGCCCAAAUUUCAAUUUAAGCCCAACACAAGAAAAUCCGGCCCAUCCUUGGGCCUUAAAACCCAGAUAGUAGAGCAGCCGUUCCGCAGCGACAAGAGAAGAUGUCAAUGAGCGAAGAUGAGGAGGCGGAAAGACGUCGCUUAAGGCGCCAGAGGGAGAUUGAAGAAGCCCUCGAAGUCAAGUCUCUCAGACGCAUCAUCAGCGCAUAUCUCAAGUACUUUUCAUCUUUUUCUAUUUUUGCAAUUUUAUUUUAUGUUUGAAUUUUUCUGAAAAUAAUUCAUUUCUUACUUUGAUUUCUACUUAUCCAAUCAGAGGUUUCGAUGCUUUCAUUUUUCACUUCAGUUGUUUUUUUUAAUGAGCUACUGAUGCAGUAGGGGCUUUUGAUUCAUUUGUUUUAUUUUUUAAGGCUACGUUUGGUUGGUAAGAAAAACUGAGGGAAAGGAAAAAAAUGGUACUAAACGGAACUCUCGUUUGAGCUUGAUAAGAUGUUUGUUUUUCAAUUGGCUUAAAUAUGUAUUUUGGCCUUUUAAAAAUAAAAUAAAAUAUUCUUAUCAAUGAAAUUGAGAAAUUUUGAUUUAAAUAUUAUUUAUUUUUUCCUUUUUUAGCCUAUUUAUUGAUUAUUUUUUUCUAGAAUUUUCUUUUGGUGAUUUGGCAAUGGGGGAACGGUUGGUUCUCUCCCCCAGAGGCUGCUUUUAGUUCUCGGGAAAAUGCGAGGGAAAAUAAAAUGCAAGUUUCGGUCAAAUAAUAUUUUUCUUAAAAUGGUAAUCAUUUGAGACUUUGGUUUUUUACUUUUCACAUAAAGUUCUUCUAUUGCUUCAGUUUUUCAAUUUAUCUACAUUGCCGGUUUUUUUUUUAUCAAACAUGUGGGUUCUGAUGAACUUGAAAUGUUCUAUUUUGAUUUUUAAAACCAUAAUUUUGGUAAUAAAUCACUUUAUUUAUUUAUUUAUUUUUUUAUCUCUGGGUUUUUUAUUGUUGUUCGUUUGGGUGGUUUGAUCACUGGGAAAAAUGUUGGUUCUGUUUGGUUCUCAAGAAACUGUGAUGGAAAGGAAAAAGAAAAUAAGAAAAGGCGAAGCUUCAAAAUUGCUGAAUUUUCUACCUUUUUGUUCUUUCCCUUGUUGUUAGUGGGGUCCAAAAGGAGCCUAAAUCUUAAUUCUGAUAUUAAGUUCCCAAUCUUUCUUAGAUAAAGUUGUCAUUGAUUUGUGUAAAGUAGAGAUGGAAUCAGAAAGUUGGCAUUUGCUUGGUGCUGAUUAUCUUUGCAAUUGAUACUUUUAUUAUUUUUUGUAUAGCCAAAAAAUUUCUCCUUUCAGUUUAUAAUUUUGCAAUUCUGGAAAAUUUCGGGUUAUGUAUUUUGUGAAUAGAGCUUUGGAAAUAAAUGUAUAAAUAUUCUAUGAAAAUUGACUGUAUGAAAUAAGUUAUGAGUAGUUUAAUCAUAUGGGAUCUGCUGGGUUAUGUAUUUUGUGAAUAGAGCUUUGGAAAUAAAUGUUUAAAUAUUCUAUGAAAAUUGACUGUAUGAAAUAAGUUGAGUAGUUUAAUCAUAUGGGAUCUGCUUGUUGUUUUUCUAAAGAAUCAAACUAUUGUUUCUUAUAUUUUAAAAACUGAGAGCUCAAGGACAUUUUUCAAAAAAUCGUAUCCGUUGUCAAACAAUCUCUUAGCUUUUGAAAUUUAAAAUCACUGCUAUUAUUCUUUGUUUCUUUAGUUUGUCAUGUUGAAAGUUUUUGUAUUUUAGGAGAUAGUUAUGUCCAGGCUGAAUUCUAAAACAAUGGCUAUGUUAUUUGUAGAGAGUGAAACAAACUGCAAUGCCAAACUGCAUUACAGAAUGCCAGGGGAUGUACCAAAAAAACCAAAACUACAAAUAGAACUAUGAUUAAUUGGAUGGGCAGAGUGAGAACAUACUGGGAUGAUGAAAAAUCAAUUGUCUCUUAUAGUUAGACUUUUAAAUUACCUUCCAAUCUGGAACCUGAUGUUUGAAUUACAUAAUCCUUAAUUGAUACCAGUACCACAAAGAAGGAUGCAUUAAAUAUUGUGAUACAGAUGAUAUGAUUGCCAUUAAAAUAACUCAUCUAGCAUUGGAACAUUGCCAAGGGGCACUGCUCUUUGUGCCUUCCUGUUAUCAGAUCAGACUGUUAAGCCCAUGGAGAUGGGUUGUAAGAGUAUGCUCCAACCUUGGUGUAUGGUAAUGAACCAAGUACAGGACAUCUACCAAACCAGAAAGCACCUAAUAACUCAUCAUUGCUGGAUAUAUAUAUAUAUAUAUAUAUAUAUAUAUAUAUAAUUAAGAUAAUAAGGAUGCCAAGGUGGAGUACCAAUAUGUGUCAGUUGCAGGGAAUAACUGGAUGCAAGGUUUUGUCAGAGUGAUACGAACCUGGAGUCAAGUUAUUGCUGUUUUGGAGGCUAUUUUGAGAGUGGAGCUUAGCAGGGAUAGAGUGUGUUUUAAGAUGGAGGUUAGCUAGAGAUGGUUGCUUCAUUGUUAACUUUUUCCUGUAGGUUGAGGAUAGGGGGAGAAUUGCAAAAUUACAGUAUCUGGAUAGCAGGUUAUCAAACCGAAUAUUCGGGUAUCAAAUUUGGUUUAUUUUACGUUGCUUCUUAUCUAAAUCUACUAGUUUCUUCAUUAUUUGUAACAGUUCUUUACUUGGGAGGUUGGGAUCUCUCUAUUCCGUACAUAUUUGUUCCUGAGUUUUUUGAAAUAAAUAAAGCGGGUGAAGUCUUUGGAACGACAAUUGGUAUCUUUAUUACAUUAGCCAAAACUUAUUUGUUCUUGUUCAUUUCUAUCACAACAAGAUGGACUUUACCUAGGCUGAGAAUGGACCAACUAUUAAAUCUUGGAUGGAAAUUUCUUUUACCUAUUUCUCUAGGUAAUCUAUUAUUAACAACUUCCAGACAUUUCGGGUUAAGAAGAUGUGAAAGCGCAUUUUGCCGAGUUCCUUAGAGAGAGUUGUCUCGCGCCCCUAGGUAUUCUCUACCUACCCACUUGUGUCGGUUUCGGGUACUACCUGGAAUGAAAGAACAAAAAUGGAUUCAUGAAGGUUUAAUUAAUGAGGAGUAGUGAUAUUAGACAACCCGCCCUUUCUCUUUUUUUUUGACUCUGUGGGGGAAAAAUUUGACUAUGGUCUAGGUUAUGUGCAGAGGGCAAACUUUGUUUAACUGUGUAACUACCCUACUUCUGGAGACUUGUGGUCCAUGCUUCUUUAUUCUCUUUGAUAUUGCAUGGCUCCUGCUGUCCUGAAGUCUUCCCAAAGAGGAGGAAAGAAGUUAUGCUCAGACGGCAUGAUAAGUUUGUCCAAUGGGAUGGGAUGAAGGUUUUAUGUUCAGCUCCCUUUGCCUGGCAUGAUGUGUUUGGCUUGAACCAAAUAUUGUGUCUUCAUUGAAGGGAUUGAGAACUUGGAAAGGAAAGCAAUUAUUAUGCUGCACCUCUGUUUAUCUGGAAUGGAC
Molecule: long non-coding RNA, 5897 nt
Filed under: Vitis vinifera (wine grape)
Lineage: Eukaryota; Viridiplantae; Streptophyta; Magnoliopsida; Vitales; Vitaceae
Description: long non-coding RNA (VVIN_LNC006242)
Source: RNAcentral